Molecule: ribosomal RNA, 467 nt
Filed under: uncultured bacterium
Lineage: Bacteria
Description: partial 16S ribosomal RNA
Rfam family: Bacterial small subunit ribosomal RNA
Source: RNAcentral
GAUGAACGCUGGCGGCGUGCUUAACACAUGCAAGUCGAACGGAAAGGCCCAAGCUUGCUUGGGUACUCGAGUGGCGAACGGGUGAGUAACACGUGGGUGAUCUGCCCUGCACUUCGGGAUAAGCCUGGGAAACUGGGUCUAAUACCGGAUAGGACCACAUUUUGGAUGGUGUGGUGGAAAGUUUUUCGGUGUGGGAUGAGCUCUCGGCCUAUCAGCUUGUUGGUGGGGUAAUGGCCUACCAAGGCGUCGACGGGUAGCCGGCCUGAGAGGGUGUACGGCCACAUUGGGACUGAGAUACGGCCCAGACUCCUACGGGAGGCAGCAGUGGGGAAUAUUGCACAAUGGGCGCAAGCCUGAUGCAGCGACGCCGCGUGGGGGAUGACGGCCUUCGGGUUGUAAACUCCUUUCGCUAGGGACGAAGCGUUUUUGUGACGGUACCUGGAGAAGAAGCACCGGCUAACUACGUG